GCUCCAGUGGCGCAAUUGGUUAGCGCACGGUACUUAUAUGUCAGUAUACGAGCUAUGCCGGGGUUGUGAGUUCGAGCCUCACCUGGAGCA
Molecule: transfer RNA, 90 nt
Filed under: Clunio marinus
Lineage: Eukaryota; Metazoa; Arthropoda; Insecta; Diptera; Chironomidae
Rfam family: tRNA
About the family: Transfer RNA (tRNA) molecules are approximately 80 nucleotides in length. Their secondary structure includes four short double-helical elements and three loops (D, anti-codon, and T loops).
Source: Rfam by way of RNAcentral